RNAcentral lists this ribosomal RNA (207 nucleotides) under uncultured bacterium. RNAcentral's name for it is "partial 16S ribosomal RNA". It matches the Rfam family "Bacterial small subunit ribosomal RNA", at positions 568 to 774 of the family's 1533-position model. The record is from RNAcentral.
AGCGCAGGCGGUUUCUUAAGUCUGAUGUGAAAGCCUUCGGCUUAACCGGAGAAGAGCAUCGGAAACUGGGAGACUUGAGUGCAGAAAAGGACAGUGGAACUCCGUGUGUAGCGGUGAAAUGCGUAGAUAUAUGGAAGAACACCAGUGGCGAAGGCGGCUGUCUGGUCUGUAACUGACGCUGAGGCUCGAAAGCAUGGGUAGCGAACA